GCGUAUCCAACCUACCCUUGUCCAUCGGAUAACCCGUCGAAAGGCGGCCUAACACGAUAUGCGGUUCACAGCAGGCAUCUAACGUGAACGAAAUGUGAAGGAGAAGGAUGGGGAUGCGUCUGAUUAGCUUGUUGGCGGGGUAACGGCCCACCAAGGCUACGAUCAGUAGGGGUUCUGAGAGGAAGGUCCCCCACAUUGGAACUGAGACACGGUCCAAACUCCUACGGGAGGCAGCAGUGAGGAAUAUUGGUCAAUGGGCGAGAGCCUGAACCAGCCAAGUAGCGUGCAGGAUGACGGCCCUAUGGGUUGUAAACUGCUUUUAUAGGGGGAUAAAGUGUGCCACGUGUGGCAUAUUGCAGGUACCCUAUGAAUAAGGACCGGCUAAUUCCGUGCCAGUAGCCGCGGUAAUACGGAAGGUCCAGGCGUUAUCCGGAUUUAUUGGGUUUAAAGGGAGCGUAGGCCGUUUGGUAAGCGUGUUGUGAAAUGUCGGGGCUCAACCU
This 500-nucleotide ribosomal RNA is filed under the name uncultured bacterium. RNAcentral's name for it is "bacterial SSU rRNA". It matches the Rfam family "Bacterial small subunit ribosomal RNA", at positions 115 to 615 of the family's 1533-position model. The record is from RNAcentral.